GUUGACACUAGAUCCCGUACGAUCACCGGUUAAGCAUCAUCGAGCGUAGUCAGUACCUAGAUGGGUGACCGAUUGGGAAUACCAGGUGCUGUAAG
Molecule: non-coding RNA, 95 nt
Organism: Acanthosepion pharaonis
Lineage: Eukaryota; Metazoa; Mollusca; Cephalopoda; Sepiida; Sepiidae
Source: the annotation of a GenBank genome assembly